UAGACCGCCUGGGGAGUACGGCCGCAAGGUUAAAACUCAAAUGAAUUGACGGGGGCCCGCACAAGCGGUGGAGCAUGUGGUUUAAUUCGAUGCAACGCGAAGAACCUUACCUGGUCUUGACAUCCACAGAACUUUCCAGAGAUGGACUGGUGCCUUCGGGAACUGUGAGACAGGUGCUGCAUGGCUGUCGUCAGCUCGUGUUGUGAAAUGUUGGGUUAAGUCCCGCAACGAGCGCAACCCUUAUCCUUUGUUGCCAGCGGUUAGGUCGGGAACUCAAAGGAGACUGCCAGUGAUAAACUGGAGGAAGGUGGGGAUGACGUCAAGUCAUCAUGGCCCUUACGACCAGGGCUACACACGUGCUACAAUGGCGCAUACAAAGAGAAGCGACCUCGCGAGAGCAAGCGGACCUCAUAAAGUGCGUCGUAGUCCGGAUUGGAGUCUGCAACUCGACUCCAUGAAGUCGGAAUCGCUAGUAAUCGUGGAUCAGAAUGCCACGGUGAAUACGUUCCCGGGCCUUGUACACACCGCCCGUCACACCAUGGGAGUGGGUUGCAAAAGAAGUAGGUAGCUUAACCUUCGGGAGGGCGCUUACCACUUUGUGAUUCAUGACUGGGGUGAAGUCGUAACAAGGUAACCGUAGGGGAACCUGCGGUUGGAUCACCUCCUUACCUUAAAGAA
Molecule: ribosomal RNA, 678 nt
Filed under: Salmonella enterica subsp. enterica serovar Weltevreden
Lineage: Bacteria; Pseudomonadati; Pseudomonadota; Gammaproteobacteria; Enterobacterales; Enterobacteriaceae
Description: bacterial SSU rRNA
Rfam family: Bacterial small subunit ribosomal RNA
Source: RNAcentral